CCUACGGGAGGCAGCAGUGGGGAAUAUUGCACAAUGGGCGCAAGCCUGAUGCAGCCAUGCCGCGUGUGUGAAGAAGGCCUUCGGGUUGUAAAGCACUUUCAGCGGGGAGGAAGGCGUUAAGGUUAAUAACCUUGGCGAUUGACGUUACCCGCAGAAGAAGCACCGGCUAACUCCGUGCCAGCAGCCGCGGUAAUACGGAGGGUGCAAGCGUUAAUCGGAAUUACUGGGCGUAAAGCGCACGCAGGCGGUCUGUCAAGUCGGAUGUGAAAUCCCCGGGCUCAACCUGGGAACUGCAUUCGAAACUGGCAGGCUAGAGUCUUGUAGAGGGGGGUAGAAUUCCAGGUGUAGCGGUGAAAUGCGUAGAGAUCGGGAGGAAUACCGGGGCGAAGGCGGCCCCCUGGACAAAGACUGACGCUCAGGUGCGAAAGCGUGGGGAGCAAACAGGAUUAGAUACCCUUGUAGUC
This 464-nucleotide ribosomal RNA is filed under the name uncultured Klebsiella sp. RNAcentral's name for it is "bacterial SSU rRNA". It matches the Rfam family "Bacterial small subunit ribosomal RNA", at positions 338 to 795 of the family's 1533-position model. The record is from RNAcentral. Lineage: Bacteria; Pseudomonadati; Pseudomonadota; Gammaproteobacteria; Enterobacterales; Enterobacteriaceae.